Molecule: long non-coding RNA, 908 nt
Organism: Rattus norvegicus (Norway rat)
Lineage: Eukaryota; Metazoa; Chordata; Mammalia; Rodentia; Muridae
Source: RefSeq, a predicted model, not a curated record
AAGGAAGAGGUGGGGAGGACCAGCUUGUGGAGGAGAGGGGAACCGAGAAAUGGAAAGCACCAGCUGGGACAUCCAGGAACUCCUCAUUCACCCCCACUGUCCCAUCAGCACCUCCCUGGCUCUGGUCCAGGUGGUUGGGGCAAGCCGGGAAGUAGGAGAUGAAGAAAAGUUUCCAGAGCUCAGCCUCCUUCAAAGACUUGCAGCAGAGACUCGGCUCUUGCCACUGCUCAAGCCAAUCAACUUUGCAGGAAUGUUCUAGAGCCAAACCCACACAGCACUGGGUACCCUGAGACUGUCAAAAACAAAUAAACAAAAACAAGAAUCAAGUCCCAGAAAAGACACAAGAAGCCAGGGUAGGGGGCACCCUGGGAGAAACUUGUGUGGCCCAAAAAGAGUGGUCCCUCUGUGCUUCGGGACAUGUGAUGGGUCAUCAUGACUGUCUCUUAAACAUGGUGCAUCUGGCAUCAAUGACUCAACUUGGAGAGGUUUCCAUCAGAUAUGUGGAGAGGGAAGACCCAGCCUAAAUCUGGGCCACCUUCAAGUCAGGAAGGACAUAGGAGAAAAGGCUUUUGCUCACUGGCAGGUUCAUUCAUCCCUCCCUGCUGUUGGAACCUUCUUUGUGAUUCCAGUGUCAACUUAAGACCAGCAGCCUCCAAGGACUCCAGAUGGAUUCAGGUGAGACAUCUGGCCUAGAGGAAUAAGCAACAACUGGAUGUUUGGUCCCUCUGGUGUGAGAUGGCCAUUGUUGGGAAACUCAGACCAUGGACUGAGCAUUGUAACACCCUUCUGAGUGUAGUUCUAUUGUCACUUCUGCCACCAUGGCAUGUCAAGCAAGAACAUUAUCUCCAGAAGGUUCCUGGCAGUAUAUGGGUGACUCAACCUUUGAUUAAAGCACAGAAGAGAACUGG